Molecule: non-coding RNA, 3813 nt
Organism: Pelobates cultripes (western spadefoot toad)
Lineage: Eukaryota; Metazoa; Chordata; Amphibia; Anura; Pelobatidae
Source: the annotation of a GenBank genome assembly
GCCAAAGGUAACAACAUUGAAUAAAUACUUUGUGUAUUUGAUUGUGUAUAAUUAUGAAAGUAUAAUAGAUUGAUACAAGAUAAAUAAAUAGUUUGGAUAGUCAUUGUCAAUCUGCAUUAGCACUUUGUCCAGACUUUUAUUAUCUUUGUUUUGAAAUGCAUUAAAUAUAUCUAUGGCUACAAAUUUAAAGUGCCAAGAUAUGGUUUUCUUAAGCAAUCCCUAGGUUUAUUUAGUCAGUCUCCUUAAUAGAUAUACUUUUGAUGAUUUCAAGAACUAGUCAUAGUUAAGUCCCCCUAAUCUAAAAUAGUUGUGAAGAGCCCUAUUCUAUACCAACUAUUACUGGUAUUGGUAAAUAAAAGAUUAAAAAUAUGAUAAAAAAUAAUAAAUAUGAAAGAAUGUGGCUAUCCCAGACCUAAUGUGUUAUGACCUAAAUUUCUAAUAUUUACAAGAUGAUGUACAAAGUUAUUAUUUUAGAAUUUGUCAACAUUUAUAUCUGUGAGAUCACGUGAUGAAGGGAAAAUAGGAGAAUCCCUCAUUUAGUCCUUUUGGGGACAGGGUUUGCAACCGGUAGAUCCUGUAGCAUUCUCUCUUCCUAAUAUGCUGAUCCCAGUUACCUUUUCUUUGAUCUUCUUUUAGAAGUUCAAUGCCUUGAAAUCUCAAGACAGUGGGAUCACCCUGGUGGACAGUUUUGACAUGUCUUGAGACCGGAGUCUGUGUCUUAUUGUCUUUACCGAAUUGAUGUGUUCCAAGAUUCUUCGUCUGAAGGGGCGGAAAGUUUUUCCCACAUAUGACAUCCCACAUUGGCAGGUGAUCAAAUAAACUAGUCCUUUGGAACUGCAGUUAAAGAAGGCUGGGGUGUCAAAAUGCAGGCUGUUGGAGCUAUUAUUGAAGGUCUUAGAAUCUUUUUUAAUAAACUCACAGGCCUUGCAUCUGCCACAUUUAUAAGUACCUUUAAGGUUAUUGGUUAACCAAUGUAUAGGUGCUUUUGUUCUCUGAAAGUGGCUACGUACGAGGGAGUCUUUAAGGUUCUUCCCUCUCCUUGCCAUCACAGCUGCCUGUGUUGGAAUGAUGUCCUUCAGUAAUUCAUCUUGUUUCAGCAGAGGCCAGAAUCUAUUCAUGAUGGAUCUGUCAUGAUGGAUCUGACAUGAUCCCAACCGGCAUCGUAGGUGGCUAUGCACCUAAGUUGUUUAUUAUCUGGUUCAGUGGGUCUAUGGGGUAUUCCUUCUUCCAUUAUCAGACUCUCUCUAUCAGGCUCUCUUCAGACAUUUAUUAGGAUACCCUUUAGACCUAAACAUAGCCCUUAGAUCUUUAGCCUUCACUAUGAAAUCCUCAACAUCUGAACAGUUACGCCAGAGUCGCAAGUACUGGCCAAUGGGGAUGCCUCUUUUCUGGGGGACUGGAUGGUAACUGCCCAAAUUAAGUAAGCUAUUGGUAGCUGUGCUUUUUCUGAACAAGUUGGUCUUAAUGGUACCGUUAGAACAAGAUCUAGAAAAGUUAGGGAGGCGGUUCCUAUCUCAGUUGUGAAUUUUACAUUUAAGUCAUUCACAUUAAGCUUCUGUACAAGAUUAGCAAACUGUUCAUUUGUACCUGUCCAUAUGAUUACAAUGUCAUCUAUAUAUCUCUUCCAAUAAUAGAUGUAUUGUGUUAGGUCAUUCUUAGGGUCUGCAAAGACUAUUUGCUCUUCCCACCACCCCAGGUGCAGGUUAGCGUAUGAGGGUGCACAGGAUGUCCCCAUCGCUGUCCCCUGCACCUGGUGGUAGAAUACUCCAUCAAAUAGGAAAAAAUUGUGCGUUAAAACGAACUUGCGGAGUUGUAUGGUGAAGUCGCUGUGUUUAUCAAACUGACUUCCUCUUUUUCUUAAGAAGUGGCUAGUAUGUUUUAAACCUAGGAUGUGGGGGAUUGAACUAUAAAGGGACUCCACAUCUAAACUGCACAGUAUUGAUUGUGGAGGCAUUUGAAUCCUAGUUAACUCUGCCAAGGUUUGUUUUGUAUCUCUGAGGUAUGAUGGUAAUCGAGUGACCAGAGGUUUCAAGAUUUGGCAUUUUGUGUCAGGUUGUUAUUACCGGAGACUCUAGUUCCGGUGAGAACUUUAUACUGUUUGUGUAUCUUGGGUAAGCUAUAGAAAGUUGAGAUAUGUGGACUGUCACUUAAGAUAUAAUCAUAUUAAUUUUUUGAGAUCACUGUAUCUUUCAAUCCUUUUUGUAGAAUUGUUUUUAAUUCCUCUAAGAACUUUUUUUGACGGAUCAGAUUUGAUAACUUUAUAUGUCUUAACAUCAGUCAAUAUUCUCUUCGUCAUUUCUACAUAAUUAGGGGUGUCCAUAAUUACGAUAUUGCCCCCCUUAUCGGAGGGCUUAAUCGUAAUUUCCUUGUUAUCUCUUAAGGAAUUAAGAGCCCUUACUUCUGCUGUGGAUAAGUUAGUUAGAUUUUAGAGUUAGUUCUGAUGUUGUAAUUUUUUCAAUCUCAUUACAUACUAAUUCCACGAAAGUUUCAACAUAUUUAGCAUCCCCAAGUUUAGGACAGUAUUGGCUUUUCUUUUUAAGAUCUGUAACGGGACACACGGAUUGUUCACCAUUCUCGUUCUCCUCAAGGAGAUCCGCAAGUAGCAUGGCCAUUUUAUAAUCUCCGGGAUUUAAGCCUAAGGCUUUUGCCUUUUUGUCCUCAAUGAGGAGAUAGUUUUUAUGUAGUAAGGGUUUUCUGGCAAAUAAGUGUAUAUCUUUGACCCAGGUAAAUUUAUCAAAGUGUGGGGUUGGUAUAAAUGACAGCCCUUUACCCAGUAAUUCUACUUCUGAUGGUGUGAGUUUAUACUUGGAUAAAUUGACCACUUGGUUUUUAUUUAGAACUGAUUCCGCCUGUUGUGUUGUUUUCUUGGUCGUUGGGGGAAACCUUCCCCCUGUUUGUCUAAAAAAGUUACCCCUUUUUUAAGGAUUCCCCUGUUCUGUUCGUCUGGAGUUGAGGUAGAAGGUUGUGGAUCUAAUUCUGACUCACUUGAUUCGUAUUCAGAGGUCGAGAUCUGAUCAAUAUCUAUUUUUCUUCUCCUCUGAAAUCUGUACACGUUACCUGUCUUGAAAUCUUUAGUAUCCCUUAAGAAUUUUUGAGGUUUACGUUGUUUUACUAUGAAUUGAUAUUUCUCCAAGUUGUUUUGUAACCUAUUUUCAUUCAGAGUGAAGGUGGGGUCUGUUUAAAAUUGUUGGACCCUAACUACUUCUUCGUCAACCUUUUUCUCUAUAUCUUUUAACUUUUUAUUUUCAUAUUUACAGAUUAUUUCCAUAAACUUGGCAGAGCAUUGUCCUGCCACUUCCUCCCAUUCUUUAAUGAAGUCCUCUUCUUCUAUAUGUGUCGUCGAUGUUGUAGGAACUCUUAAUCCCCUUGGUAUUAGCCCCUUUUUAAAGUAGUUUUCUAAUGAUGCUAUCUCCCAACUUGUUCUAAUCUGCUGUUUGUAUAAUUGAGUUAGGGUAUUGAAACCUGCCGUUAGAGUAUAAUUAGACUCGUCGGGUGGUAAAUUAGCUUCUGAGAAGAUCAAAUCUGCGUCUUGGCACCACUUGGAAGCAUUGGGUAAGUUUGAGAGGAAUCCUGCCAUCUAAACUUGAAAAUCUGAUCUCACCGUUCUUGACCAAAAGAAAUGGGUCUUAAACCCUUAAAAUGAAAUAUAAUACAACGGGAUAAAUGCUUCGUUUGCCAAACUGCCCCAAUAGAUGGACAACAGGGCAUGCAAGGUAAUACAAAGCCAUUUCCAUGUGGACCAUUUUUAGCCCAAGGCAGCUCAUCUCAUCAGGCCUUUUUUAGUCGAAUGUAUCACCCACUGUCAGUCCCGUC